Panicum virgatum (switchgrass) is the source of this 303-nucleotide long non-coding RNA. RefSeq lists it as uncharacterized. The transcript is spliced from 2 exons. NCBI's taxonomy places the organism in Eukaryota, Viridiplantae, Streptophyta, Magnoliopsida, Poales, Poaceae. The record is from RefSeq and is a predicted model, not a curated record.
AUAUCUAUAAUCAAUGCUCACUCCUGUCCAUUAACUCCCCCGGGCCCAAGUUCAGCGUACUCGAGUUCAGAUGAAAUGGAUUCAUUAUUUCAGUGAGUCCACACAAGAGGAGAAUGACAGGAAGGGUGGUGACAAGAGGAGACUGGCAGUCAGAGAUGGAAACAAAGCUAUGUUUUUGGUGGGAAUGGUACUGUUUCAUUCAUAAUUUGUAGUACAAUAGUCACGGGUACAUCUUUACACUCUUUUGCGCAAGCGAGAAUGCAAACACAAUCUGCAGCAACCUCCUUUUACAGUAGUAACAAA